ACCUCUUCGGAGGUUAGCGGCGGACGGGUGAGUAACACGUGGGCAACCUGCCUGUAAGACUGGGAUAACUCCGGGAAACCGGAGCUAAUACCGGAUAGUAUCUCGAACCGCAUGGUUCCAGCUGGAAAGACGGUUUCGGCUGUCACUUACAGAUGGGCCCGCGGCGCAUUAGCUAGUUGGUGGGGUAAGGGCUCACCAAGGCGACGAUGCGUAGCCGACCUGAGAGGGUGAUCGGCCACACUGGGACUGAGACACGGCCCAGACUCCUACGGGAGGCAGCAGUAGGGAAUCUUCGGCAAUGGACGAAAGUCUGACCGAGCAACGCCGCGUGAGUGAGGAAGGCCUUCGGGUCGUAAAGCUCUGUUGUUAGGGAAGAACAAGUACCGUUCGAACAGGGCGGUACCUUGACGGUACCUAACCAGAAAACCACGGCUAACUACGUGCCAGCAGCCGCGGUAAUACGUAGGUGGCAAGCGUUGUCCGGAAUUAUUGGGCGUAAAGCGCGCGCAGGCGGUCUCUUAAGUCUGAUGUGAAAGCCCACGGCUCAACCGUGGAGGGUCAUUGGAAACUGGGGGACUUGAGUACUGGAGAGGAGAGUGGAAUUCCAUGUGUAGCGGUGAAAUGCGUAGAUAUAUGGAGGAACACCAGUGGCGAAGGCGGCUCUCUGGCCAGUAACUGACGCUGAGGCGCGAAAGCGUGGGGAGCAAACAGGAUUAGAUACCCUGGUAGUCCACGCCGUAAACGAUGAGUGCUAGGUGUUGGGGGGUUCCACCCUCAGUGCUGACGUUAACACAUUAAGCACUCCGCCUGGGGAGUACGACCGCGAAGUUGAAACUCAAAGGAAUUGACGG
This 851-nucleotide ribosomal RNA is filed under the name uncultured bacterium. Its description in RNAcentral is "bacterial SSU rRNA". It matches the Rfam family "Bacterial small subunit ribosomal RNA", at positions 74 to 916 of the family's 1533-position model. The record is from RNAcentral.